CCCUUAGAUGUUCUGGGCCGCACGCGUGCUACACUGAGUGGAUCAGCGGGUCAGGUUGCGCGAAAGCGUUUCCUAAUCUUUAAAUCCGCUCGUGAUGGGGAUUGACGGUUGCAAUUUUCUGUCAUGAACGAGGAAUACCUUGUAAGCGCGGGUCAUCAUCCCGCGCUGAAUACGUCCCUGCCCUUUGUACACACCGCCCGUCGCUCCUACCGAUUGAGUGGUCCGGUGAGGCUUUGGGAUCUGAGCGGAAAGAGCGUUUCGCUGUUUCUGCUCGGAAAACUCAGUCGAACCUUAUCAUAUAGAGGAAGGAGAAGUCGUAACA
Molecule: ribosomal RNA, 322 nt
Filed under: uncultured eukaryote
Lineage: Eukaryota
Description: partial 18S ribosomal RNA
Rfam family: Eukaryotic small subunit ribosomal RNA
Source: RNAcentral